GCGGUAGUUUUCAUUUUCUUUUCAUAAUUUCUUUCAUUUUCUUUCAUUUUUUGUACAUUAUUUUGCUAAAUCUAAUUAUGUUGUUCAAUAUUAACCAAAAUCAGAAAUAAAAAAUCUAAGAUCUAACUAAAUCUAAGAUUUCGCGGCGACGCUUCCAAUCUCCUCCUCCACGCUUCCACUACGAUUCCAAAAGACUCAAUUCUAGAAGCACGAUUCCGCUUCCGUUUCCGGUUCAGAAGCGAGAAGCGACACAUCUCCGGCGAUUCCGUGCUACAGCCGAAAAAGAGUGCUUUCAAGCAAGUCCGUUUUAAGACACUGAAACUAACGAAUCGCUCUCUUUACUCAAGCUUCUUGGAGUUGAAAGAACAGCUACGUCACAGAGUAUGCAGCUAGAGGUCAGCUUCAUAAAGAGCUACAAAUAUGCAACUACUUCUGCGCAGCAACUACUAGUAAGAUUUUGGAUGGUCUGCGCACACGUUCAUGUCUGGCACUCUUGAUUACCUUCCACCUGAGAUGGAUGUUGGUUAAGGAGUCUAACGUUUGACCUUGCACAAGCUUCUUAAGCACCAAUGAUUUGUGCAAAACGCGGAUACAUCAAGCAUAUACAGAC
Capsella rubella is the source of this 610-nucleotide long non-coding RNA. RefSeq lists it as uncharacterized. The transcript has 4 exons. NCBI's taxonomy places the organism in Eukaryota, Viridiplantae, Streptophyta, Magnoliopsida, Brassicales, Brassicaceae. The record is from RefSeq and is a predicted model, not a curated record.